Molecule: ribosomal RNA, 478 nt
Filed under: uncultured bacterium
Lineage: Bacteria
Description: partial 16S ribosomal RNA
Rfam family: Bacterial small subunit ribosomal RNA
Source: RNAcentral
GAUGAACGCUAGCGGCAGGCCUAACACAUGCCAGUCGAGGGAGAAGCCCUUUCGGGGGCAGAAACCGGCGCACGGGUGCGUAACGCGUAUGCAACCUACCUUUCACAGGGGGAUAGCCCGAAGAAAUUUGGAAUAAUACCCCAUAAUAUUAUUGGAUGGCAUCAUUUGAUAAUUAAAACUGCGGUGGUGAAAGAUGGGCAUGCGUCCUAUUAGCUAGUUGGAGUGGUAACGGCACCCCAAGGCUACGAUAGGUAGGGGUCCUGAGGGGGAGAUCCCCCACACUGGUACUGAGACAGGGACCAGACUCCUACGGGAGGCAGCAGUGAGGAAUAUUGGUCAAUGGUCGGAAGACUGAACCAGCCAUGCCGCGUGCAGGAAGAAUGCCUUAUGGGUUGUAAACUGCUUUUAUAUGGGAAGAAUAAGGUGUACGUGUACAUUGAUGACGGUACCAUAUGAAUAAGCAUCGGCUAACUCCGUG